RNAcentral lists this ribosomal RNA (827 nucleotides) under marine metagenome. Its description in RNAcentral is "bacterial SSU rRNA". It matches the Rfam family "Bacterial small subunit ribosomal RNA", at positions 188 to 1033 of the family's 1533-position model. The record is from RNAcentral.
UAAGUCUUUACGGAGAAAGCUUUAUGCACCAUUGGAUGAGCCUGCACUUGAUUAGUUUGUUGGUGGGGUAAUGGCCUACCAAGACUGUGAUCAAUAGCUGAUUUGAGAGGAUGAUCAGCCACAUUGGGACUGAGACACGGCCCAAACUCCUACGGGAGGCAGCAGUGGGGAAUCUUGCACAAUGGAGGAAACUCUGAUGCAGCGAUGCCGCGUGAGUGAAGAAGGCCCUUGGGUUGUAAAGCUCUUUCGUCGGGGAAGAAAAUGACUGUACCCGAAUAAGAAGGUCCGGCUAACUUCGUGCCAGCAGCCGCGGUAAUACGAAGGGACCUAGCGUAGUUCGGAAUUACUGGGCUUAAAGAGUUCGUAGGUGGUUGAAAAAGUUAGUGGUGAAAUCCCAGAGCUUAACUCUGGAACUGCCAUUAAAACUUUUCAGCUAGAGUAUGAUAGAGGAAAGCAGAAUUUCUAGUGUAGAGGUGAAAUUCGUAGAUAUUAGAAAGAAUACCAAUUGCGAAGGCAGCUUUCUGGAUCAUUACUGACACUGAGGAACGAAAGCAUGGGUAGCGAAGAGGAUUAGAUACCCUCGUAGUCCAUGCCGUAAACGAUGUGUGUUAGACGUUGGAAAUUUAUUUUCAGUGUCGCAGGGAAACCGAUAAACACACCGCCUGGGGAGUACGACCGCAAGGUUAAAACUCAAAUGAAUUGACGGGGACCCGCACAAGUAGUGGAGCAUGUGGUUUAAUUCGAAGAUACGCGCAGAACCUUACCAACACUUGACAUGUUCGUCGCGACUCUAAGAGAUUAGAGUUUUCGGUUCGGCCGGACGAAAC